CAUGUACGGGAGGCAGCAGUGAGGAAUAUUGGUCAAUGGGCGGAAGCCUAAACCAGCCAAGUCGCGUGAAGGAAGACGGUUCUAUGGAUUGUAAACUUCUUUUGUAGAGGAAUAAUGGCAGCUACGUGUAGCUGAGAUGCAUGUACUCUACGAAUAAGUAUCGGCUAACUCCGUGCCAGCAGCCGCGGUAAUCAUG
This 196-nucleotide ribosomal RNA is filed under the name uncultured bacterium. Its description in RNAcentral is "partial 16S ribosomal RNA". It matches the Rfam family "Bacterial small subunit ribosomal RNA", at positions 335 to 527 of the family's 1533-position model. The record is from RNAcentral.